CAAAUUCGGUUCUAGAGAGGUUC
This 23-nucleotide non-coding RNA is filed under the name Daphnia pulex (common water flea). The record is from RNAcentral. RNAcentral also lists the same sequence under 4 other names. Lineage: Eukaryota; Metazoa; Arthropoda; Branchiopoda; Diplostraca; Daphniidae.